RNAcentral lists this non-coding RNA (31 nucleotides) under Mus musculus (house mouse). The record is from RNAcentral. Lineage: Eukaryota; Metazoa; Chordata; Mammalia; Rodentia; Muridae.
UGUUUAGUUGAUCUUAGAUAGGGCUGUUCCU